GGCCUGGGUUGGGUGGCGGGAGGGGCGGUGUGCUGAGAGUUCAGAAGAAGUCCUCGGGGCUUUUGACUGUCUAGGAAAAAGGGCACAGUACCUAGAAGUGACCGUGAAACCACAGAAACAACUCACCACCAGCAUGUGGAGCGGAGCGCCAUAUAGAGACAGCACCACUCUGGUUAUGUGUUGUGGCAGGUCAUCCAGACAGGAAUCUAAAUUGCAGAAGAAACACAAUGCUGCGCGUUCUCAGAGACUGGCUGAUCACUGAAAUGGAAUUGUAGGUGUCAAUGCGUAGUAACAGUUCCUGGAAUGUGGAAACUGAUCUUUGUACCCUGAAACUUGUCUGUUUCUUCCAAAUCAUCUAGAAUUUCUCAAAGGAAAAGAUAAUUCAUUGUCCUGUUGCCUCAAAGCAGCUGUUGCAGAUGUUUGGAGAGAAGGUGUAUGUAAACAUCCUGAAGGCAAAGGGAGAAUGAUGUUUUCGGGACCGGAAACUGAUUCAUAAUAGUGGCUCUAGGAUCUGGGAGUUAAUUGGUGUAGAGAACGAUGCAGGGAGAGUAGACGACAUGGAGGACAGCGUUUACUUCUUCCAUUGGCUGUGACUUCUGUGUCUCCACUUUCCUGGCUCCCCUCAUAUGUGGACUAGGGGAAAUUUAGUGAAUUGCUGAAUAGGUAUCUAUCUCAGUUUCCUGGUUUUCUCAGAAGCCUAGUAAUUCAUUCUAGGCCAGUCAGAAGAUGAACGAAUGGACACAUGAGCAGCAUAAUCAAGACCAACUAAGAAAGGUUAGCCACGGUCAAAGGAAAUUGAUGAAGAGUGGCUAUUAAGGGCUGGAGCAUAUGUACGCAGACUAUGGUUAAAUAACGAUGCCUUGAGAAUUCCUUCAUCUUCACGUUUGUUUCACUAUCCGCGUAUUUCGUGUGUGGGGGCUGGGCAUCCCUGCUGUGGGUACGCAUGUGAAGGCUACAGGUAUUUGGAAUUCACAUACUGAAACAGCAAAACUCCAUGACAUGCGAUCCAUCAGAAAGUGAGUCCUAUGGAUGCAAGGUGGUUUUUCUUCCAUUUUGCUCACUACUUUGUCAGAAGUUCUUAAAACAAGGCCUGCACAUGGUUGGUACGCCACUAAUAUUUGUCAAAAGACUCAUUAUGAAAAAUAAGAUAGCUGUGUGAGGCAACCAAGGAAGAGCUGAAGCCCGGAGGUCCCCCCGGAGAGUCUGAGUAAUGAAGAUGAAAAUCACGGAUCAGAAGGAAUCUAAGGAAAUUUAUAAAAGUGCCCCAUGUUAAGUUGUACCUCAAGGCAACGGCAUUAGCAACCAUGGUGGCAGCAGUGAGAAUGCAUGAUCUGUAUGGGUUGAAAGAAGGGAGAAAAUUGUGAUGGAGGCAAGAUCUGCAUGUGCCAAAGACAGAGGAAAAAAUUAACCUGAAUGUGAUAAGCAAAAUACGUGAAACCAACAUAUUCUAUGAUUUUACACACACAUGGAAUGUCCAGAGACUACAAGUGGGUGGCAUCACAAAGCGAGGUCGAAGGUGGAAAUUAAGGUGAACUGCAGAUUGUCACAAAGAAUAGUCCUCCAUUUUACUCUCAUUAGUCUGAUUUUUGUGCAUGGAUUUGUAUGUAGGCAUGCUCAUGUGAGCGCAGGUGACUUUAUGGAGGCCAGAGGGGUCAUAUCCUCCCUGGAGAUGGAGUUGUUGAUGGCUGUAAGCUGUGUGACAUGGGUGCUGGGAACCACUUGGAUAUUCUGCAAGAGUUCUUAAUUACUAUGCCAUCUCUCUAGCUCCCACUCAUGUUGAAAGAUUUACCUCUAUUUUUAUUUUAUUUUUUGGGUGUGUGUGUGUGUCUCCUCCCAUACACAUGUCACACAGAUGUGGGUACCCAAGAAGAUGGAAGCAGCUAUCAGAUCCUCUGGAGCUAAACUUAGUGGUGGUUAGAAGUCACAUGACAUGGGUGCUGAGAACAGAACUCUGACCCUCUGGAGGGGCAACAAACACUCUUAAGCAAUGAGCAAUUUCUCCAGCUUUUAAGAAGACAGUUUUGAGAUGACAAAAUAUUCUAAAACUCGAUCAUGGUGAUGGUUAUAUGACUUACAAAGAAAAAUCAGAGAAUUACUUUACCUAUUAAAAAUUAGUGAACGAUACACUGUUCAAGUAUGGAAAUUUUAUGGCAUAUGAAUCUUAUCCUAAAAAUGUUAGACAGCAACAAAAAGCAAGAAGUAAGGGGUGGAAAGGAAAUCGGUAUGGCUGUGGAAGCUUUACCAGUGCCAUCAUGACAUAAAUUGACCAAAAUCUUGUAGCUAGGAGGAAGUAGAAUAUGAAUUUUAGUAAGAGAGUAUUUGGCUCCAAGAUAACACUGGAUAAAGGCAGUGCUAACAGUUGGAGGGCAAUAGUAGAUUAAUGAGAAGGGAAUGUUAUUUUAUUGAAAAACUUUCCAGUAUGUUUUUGAUUCUUUUCUUAGAAAAGGAGCAUGCUGGAAAGUAGCAAGUUUGAAAGCUUAAUUUAGUGAUAGAAUGACAGAUGGAAUCUUUUGUAAAGGCCAGAUGGAAGAAUGAGUGUGUUACCCAGGUAGGGUGGGCCAAGGUUGGAGGUAUGGGAGAGAAAAGAAGGGGAGACAUUUGAAAGGCAAGAGUCAUGCCUUGAUGAGUGACCUCACUGUUCAUGAAAGUAUUUUGUGCUUUUACAAAGGAACUUCUUCACAGUAAUUUAUGGAGAUCUUCCAUGCACAAUACAAUGCUUACGUAUCUGUAUAUUUAGUGAUACUGUAGAUUGAAUCUGUGGCUUCAUACAAGCCAUGUAAGCCCUCUACAUGGGCUAGGAAUCUACAGUCCUAGUUCAAGAAUACCCUGUAUUGCACUGUACUAUUGGUCACAAAGAAAGCAGUACCAGACCAGUGGAGAAACUCAGGAUGUAGGGGGUAAGAGUGAGAAAUGCCAGGCAUGGUGGUGGAUGCCUUUUAAUCACAGCACUUAGAAGACAGAGGCAGGUGGAUCUCUGAGUUCGAGGCCAGCCUGGUCUACAAAGCAAGAUCCAGGACAGUCAGGGCUACACAGUGAAAUCCUGUCUCACAAAACCAGACCAAACCAGAACAAAACAAGUGGGAAAUACCUCUGAUGGAAUUGUGAGGAGAGAAGGGAGAUGCUCUUCAGGGAAGGUGGCAAGUCUUACCUGGGCUGCAGGAUACUGGUGAUACAUUGCACACAUAUUACAUAGCACAUUGUGUUCUAUGCUUCGGGAAUGUGUUAGUCAGAGGUCUCAGUCUUAGGUGAUAGAAAACCAGCCCAAAUGAAUCUGAGACAAAAUGGUAUCAAUUGUCUUGUAGUAGUAGGGGCUGUGGGGUUUGUGUGGCUAAGAAGUGAUGUUUAAAACGCUCAGCUUCACUCUCCUGUCAACCAGUUCUUAGUUUGGCUCUCCCUCUGUGGCAAAUAUUCUACUGAAAACUCCACAUUUACAUGUUCCUGGCAGAGUAUAAUCCCUGAAAUCCCAGAAUUUAUUUUUCAGUAAUUAACAGAUGAGUGUGAUGUGGAGUCUCGCUGGCUCAUGCUUGUGUCAUGACCAUGAGCCAACCCUUGUGGCCAAGGGCAUUUGUUUUCUCAUUCAUUGAAGCAGAGCUUUGGGCCCAUCCUAUGGCGACUGUUACAGUAUGGUAGUUAGUGGUAUAUCUAUGAAAGGACCAUGUUGUCGAAGAUAUUGUAGAGGUUCCUUGGGUUCUUAGCAAAGCAACAGAAGCCAAGCCAAGCCAAGCAAGCACAUCAGAGAGAGAAUGGAGUGGGACUUGUGCAUUCUGCAACUCAGAUUUUAAAGAAGUUUUAAUGAAUGCUCAUGAAACCGGUGGUUAAUGCAUAAGGUAAGGUGACUGCUUUACUGUCUUAAAUUAUGGCGCACCAGAUUUUCCUUUAAAGGUAUUUCCACCCUUGAUUCCAGCACUGCAAGUGCUAUUAUAAUAAUCAAGUCCUCUGAGUCUUCAGCCCUGCUGUUAGGAUAUGUGUUUGGGAGAAUACCUUGGUACCUAAUAGAGCAACCUAAUUUCAGUUUCAAGGAUGUCUCACCACAAGGGGCAUUUUGAUGGUCAGGAGGUGUAGUCACCAAUAUGUAUCUGAAGUUUUCAUAGGCUGCCUCAUAUUUGAUUCAUUUGGGUGGGCAGAGGAUUUCUUAGAAGCUGUUCUUACAAUUUAGUCUGCUGUUAUUAAACGCAUUAGCUAUAAUACGUAAAAUGGUUCUGCUUUUGUACAUUACUGGGGGAAGGUGAAAUAGUGUUGCUUUGUGGAUGCCAGUUGGAGCCUGCCACAAGUAUCUUCAUUUUCCCCCCCAGAGCCUUGCCCUCCCUCUUUCCUGGUCAACUUCAUUAUCUCAUACUAAGUUGCAUGGCUUCAGUUUUCAUCCUUAGUGUUCUUGACCUUGCAAUUUUAAUCCCAAAGUUUGUUUCCACAGCAACAGUGUGUUAAAGGCUUGGUAAACAGCUUGUGGUUGCUGAGUGUGUUAGAAGCUGUGGCUGUUGAGAUCUAGUGGAAAAAAGAGGGACCAUUGGGGGAAGGCAUGUCUUUGAAGAGCGUGAUGGGAUGCUUACCUUUCCCUUCCCCUCUCAUUGUUUCCCAAUGAUCAACUUCUUUGCCACAUGCUAAUCAAUGAUGAAUUGUGUUUCCAUGAACCCAGAAUAACAGGACCAAGCAAAUACAGAUUGAAGCAUCUGAAACUACAAGCCAAAAUGAAUCUUUUUUUUUUCUUCAUCAAAGUAGAUUUUCUUCUCAGGUAUUUGUCACAAAGAUAGAAAGCUGAUUAACACAGAAACAAUUAGCCUCAUUCAAGACAGAAGAAUAUGAUCUUACUAACAGAAGAUGGAGAAAGGACCAAAGUAACCUCAAUAAUAUACCUACCUAAAACUGUGUGUAGUGGAUAUUGUUGGAAUUCAAUGAGCUCUCUUGAGUAGGCUUUAAUGUGUCAGUUUUUGAGAUUUGGGAAUUAACCCAUUGAAUAGUUAGGUUGCCCAAUGGUUUAUACUCAGAUAUAAAAUCAUAAAGAAUUGUGUUCAGGUCCAUUUGCCCCAAAGCCUCUUCCUCUUGAAUCACAUAGCUGAUGUUAAAGCAGGUAAACUCUGAAAUGUAAAAGAAGCACAUGUGGGUAUUUCCUCAGGGAUUUAAAUACAGGGUCAUCAGCUUGAAUUUACAGGCAGUGGUGCAGGGAGAAGGGAAUUGAGGAUGGUGUGGGACAUAGAAGAAAGAGGUGGUAGUUCAGAUCUGGGGAGAAGGCCUGGGAUGCUCCAGGUUAGCAGCCAGAGUUUCUAUGAGAGUUAAUAAAGGACUUGUCAUGUAGGUGAAAGCCAAAUUGUAUGUAGAGAACAAAAUCUUAUCCUAAGACACUCAGUUACUUGCACUACAAGCUUUUUUCAUGAAGCAUGCUAUUGCCUGAGACUGAAGCAGAGGCAAUAGAUAGUUUAAAAGCACAAGUCAGCCAGAAACUACACCAAGAAAAUGCCAUGGGUGUAGCUCUAUACUCAUCUCUAAAUGUAGAAGAUGAAAUGAACAGGUACAACUUGGUCUAUGCUAUGAGGCAGGGUGAGCCAUAUUUGGACAACUGGCUCAACAUACACUGGGCAUAGAUGUUGGAGAGGGCAGAUCUGAAAUAAGUGGAUAGUCACUAUAGAAAGACAAUUUGAGUGUCCAGCAAGGUGUUAAUAUUGUGAACAAGGAAGGGACUUGUGCUCAAAGAGUGGCCAAGGAAGGAGAAUGAGAUCAGGACUUGGAAGCACAUGGAGUAACAAGUCAAACCAAUCUAAGUGGGGGAGUGCAAAAUGUGGUAAGACGUGGUACAGGUGGAUGCAAGCCAGGUCUUUCUCCAUGUAAGGGUACAGGGAAGUUCUGAUGGGCACUAAUUUAUUCUGAUCUCUUGUGAAAUGUGAGGUAGGACAGAAAACCAAGACAUUGGAGAUAGCAGCCUGGGCUGAAAGUUGAGAUUCCACUUCGUGGUUGUGCAACCCUGGGCAAGGUACUAAUCUUAAUGUGGGUAAACUCAAGUAUGAAAAUAAGCAUACUUACAGGGCAAAUGUGGAAAUAUUUAGCAUGAUUUUAUACAUAUGCAUAUGUGUGCAUAUCUAUCAUAUCUAUCUAUGAAUAUCUAUCUCUGUCUAUCCAUCCAUCUAUCUAUCAUCUAUCUGUCUUUCAUCUAUCAUCAUUUAUUUCCUUCCUUCCUUCUUAUCUAUGUAAUAAUGUGUAGUAUAAGGACAGAUUCAGGACACUUAGCAUAUACAGAUGCUACAUAAAUGGUAGUUUAUGAUCAAAACACCACACUGGUAUAUUUUACCAUUGAAAAUAGUUAAGAUUUGUUGAGAUAGCUGGACAAUAAAAUCCCAAGUUCAGGUUCAGUCUAGGGGAAUCCAAAAGGAAUAAAUCAGAUUCAUUAGGCCAAGUUUUUUUUUUUAAUUUUUAUCAUUUCUUGUUAACAAACUUUUACAUAGUGAAUGUUCGAUAUAACAAGUACCAUGCAAGUUAUCUUUUACCUAUAGAACCUAAAGUUGGUUGCACUAGUCCUGGGAGUAUCUACCCAGUAGUUUAUCUUGAAUUUUAUUCACUCUCUGGAUCUCCCGUCUUUAAAUCCAUCUGGCUGUGCUAAUGAAAACAGUAAUUGCUUUAUGCAUUGAAAUUUGCAUCCCAUGAGUGAGUACCUAUCCUUUCUUUGAUUUGCUCAUAUCUCAUGCAUGUCUGAUCACUGAUGCACUAUGCACUAUGAUAAUUAUACUUGAGAUGAGGUGAGCUUUUACUUGAGAACUUUUGGCCACACAUUAUACCCAGAAUAUAUUUGAACAAUAUGAUUCACAUGGGUAUGAGAGAAACAUUCAUUGAGAUUCAUUUGUGAAUUGCUCAUUCAUUCACUUAACAAAAUUUAUUUGAAGCUUCCUAUAUGCAAAGUACCAACAAGUAUUAUAAGAGACACAUAUGGGAAGAAUAUAUAGUUCAAAACCCCAAGGAGCUUAUGUCUGAACAUAUUGCCUAUAGAACAAUAGAUUUUGUAUAGCCAUUAGGCAAGCACCUCUCCUUUUAAAAGGACUCUGCUAUGGAAUAGUCCUAAUAGCACUUUUCUUUAUCAACUAGACAGGAGGAAAAGUCAACGAGGCCUUCCUCACCCUUCUUUGAUAUUUGAGUUGUUCCUGGAAUGAUAUUUCAUUGCCCUUUGUAGACUAGCUCACAAAAGCCAAAUAAUACUUUGUGCAAACUACAGAUAUUGCUAAAGGGGUGUGUUUGAAAUUUUUGACUCAGCUAACUUUUUGUCAAGUGCCAUCCUCAGGAUUAAGAAGGCAUUGGAGAGUUUUCAGGAAAUUCAGCUGCAGUUUUUAUAAGUCAUGGAAAGAUUAAAGGAAAUUAAUUGUUGUCAACAAGAUUGUGGUCACUUUAUUUUGUGAACUGUCGGCCCCAGAUUGUUCUCUUUAUCAGUCAUUUGCAGUGGCUAGUAUUCUUCUGCAUUUUGCACUUCCAGCUCCCACAUGUUACAGAGAUACUGGGAUGAGGCCUCAGCUGAAAGUUCUCUUGCAUCAAUGUGAAGAGCAUGUUAAAAGAAAAGCGUUCAAGCUCACCAAGAGCUGUCCCUCAUUUUUCACUGGCAGAAGCUAAAGCUUGAAGAAAACCAAAGACCAGAUUUGUUUAUGGUGGAUUAUAUUGACAGACUUGUAUAUGUUGAACCAUCCCUGCAUCUCUGGAUUGAAACCUACUUUAUCAUGGUGAAUCUUUUUGAUGUAUUCUUAAAUUCAGUUUGGAGACAUGCCUGCUCCUGGCAGCACCAGUCUACUUCAGAGAAGAUGAUAGGGAUUGAAGAAACUCCAUAUGGAGUUUACUUUCCUUGUGGCAAAAAUUAUCCAAUGGGCAAGAAACUGCCCUUGCCUUGACUGCUGACAGUAUGCUAUCCAAAUUGGAUAAGCAGGACAUUGAAGAAAGUGACUGCCAAACUUUGCCAAGACAAGGGCAGGUGUUAAAACAAUUCCAUGGGGAAAAGAUGCUUCUGACUCAGGAGCUCCUGAUGAGCCAGAUGUCUGUGUCUCUUGUGCUGGAUUCAACAAUGAACUCUGGAUGAAUCUCAGACUUUAAUAUUCCUGAUGCUGGCAUGAAAAGGUUGGCAACUUCCCAUCACAUUUUAAGAGCCUUCAUCCAGGAAGCAGAUGCAGAGAUCCACAGCCAAGCACAGGCUGAGCUCUAGGAGUCCAGUCAAAGAGAGGGAAGAGGGAGUAUAUGAGCAAGGGGGGUCAAGAUCAUGAAGGGAAAUCUACAGAGACAACUGAACAAGCACAUAGGAACUCAUGAACUUCAGACCAACAGCUGUGGAGCCUGUAUGGGACUGGACUAGGCCCUCUGCACAAGCAAGACAGUUGUGUAGCUUGGUCUGUUUGAGGGGUCUCUGGCAGUGUGAUCAGGUUCUAUCCCUGGUGCAUGAGCUGGCUUUUUGGAGCCCAUUACGUAUGGUCGGACACCUUGCUCAUCCUCGAUGCAAGGGGGAGGGGGGCUUAGUCUUGCUUCAACUGAAUGUACUAGGCUUAGCUGUACCCCCAUGGGAGAAUUCACUGCCCACCUCAUGGGAGGAGGGGAUGAGGCGGGGAAGGUGGGGGUAGGGGAGCGAGAGAAGGGAUGAGGAGAUAUCUGUGAUUGGUAUGUAAAAUGAAUAAAAAAAUUAAAAAAACUACUUGUUUUAAAUCAAUGAGUCUUAAAACUUUACAAACAAUGGUUCUGUAUUGAUUAUUCAAGGGUAUAACUGGCAUCAUAUUUAUGCAAUAUUUCUGAAAAAUUAAAACAUUAUAUACUUGAUUUAUUAGUUUAUAUACCACUUCUGUUAGCCACCCUCUAAGACACAUGCCAUUGAUUUUCAUAUUCUGGUGUUGAUGUCCUUGUGUGGUUCCCCUGACAAUGUGUCAGCAAUGGCUUUUGUGAUAGAUAGUAUCCUGGAAAAAGGAGGAUAUGUUUGUACCAAGGCUCAAUCAAGUAAGAGUUUGCCACUACUGAGAAUAAAAUACCCUGUUCUUGGGGACUGGAAGUAAGAGAACCAAUUUUGGAUACCAGUGACCAUGUAAAAGUCAAGCAUGGCUGUGCAUCCCCGUAACGCCAGUCCUUGUGCAGUGAGGUGGACACAGGACUAUUGAGGCUUGCAUAUUUGGCCGAUUACCAGAAAUACUAUGAUCUUCAGGUUCAGUGAGACACCUUAUCUCAAGGGAAUAAGGUAAAGAGUAAUAGAGAUAGCCAUCUCUGUCUCUGUCUCUGUCUCUCUCUGUCUCUCUCUGUCUCUCUCUCUCUCUCUCACACACACACACACACACACACACUCCAGAUGAAUGAAUAUUAUGAGCCCUUUGCUAUAUGCAGUUCCUUCUGCUGUGAAUUUCAAUGAAUAAAAACACAGAUUUGAUCUCCUGGCUCCUACUAUUCAUACCAUAAACAAAGACAAGCAGUUCUAGAGACAGAUUCCUCUACUAUCCACCUUAGACUUUCCUCUGUCUUCACUCAGCUAUUGGAUCACUGCAUUCUUCUCCCUUUGGGAAACCAUCUGUUUGGAAACUUGGUCUCAGAAUGUAUCCAUGGUCUUCUCACAUGGGUUUAUCCUAGUGUUUCUCUCCUCUGUUCACUUGGUCCUGUCUUCUAGGAAUUCAUUGUUGAAAUUACCUAUUAUCUGCUGGCAUUCUUUAAUUACUGGCUGGUCUCCUUCCUAAUUUUUUCUAUUCAUUAUUUAAUUCAUUGAAGUAAAUUCUAUUAACAAGACAGUAUCUCUACCUUUAAAGUAGUGACAGAUGUGAACCAGGAAUGCACAGUCUCUCCAUUCUAAUUUUGGCAUCCCAUAGACAUUGAUUCCCAGAGCCAACUUCAUUUCCUCUUCUGCCAGCACUGAGAGCUCCUAGCUGCCCACUUAAGGAUCCCUGGAACCAACUUUAGUUGGCCACAUUAGGUUUUUUUGUAGGUGUGAUAAACUACCUAACAAAGACAAUUGAGAGGGGUGGUUUUACGUUUUGGUUCACAGUUUGGGAGGUCUCAUUUCAUAGCCUUGGGUUCACUGAUUCUCAGUCCAUGAUGACAUGGAACACCAUAGAACAAAAGCUACUCAUUGUGAGGGCUGACAGAAGCAGAAAGAACAAAAGGCAUCAGGGACCAGGCACAAUCCUCAAAGGUGUACCCCUAGUGACUCUUCUGCUGCUAGUCUCCAGUUUCCAAAAUUUCCCUUCCAUCCCCAAAUAGUUACGCCAGCCAAGGAUCAGUCAUUCACCACAUGUGCCUACAAGGAACACUUCAGAUUCAAACCAUUAUUCUAGCCAAUCAUAAUUCAGUCCAUCAAGCCCAGUUUAUUCAAAUUUUGAAUAAAAUUAAAUUAAAUUCUCAUUUCUGUUUUCAUUAGACUUAUGCCAAGGUGGUAAUAUUUUACAGGAAAAUUCUGGGUGAUUUUUAAACUACAUAGAGUUUUAUCAAGUGACAACCUGUAUUCUGUCUGAAACCUGUCAUAGUCUGUAGAGGAAGGUCAGGUUCCUCAUGAUGGUUUAUCAAGGAAGGAUUUUCAGAGACAAUUGUAUUUUGAGUUUGAUUUUAAAUACACAAUGAGUUUUGGAUAGGCCAACAGAGGGAAGAAUUUGGAUUGUGUGUGCACAAAAAAAUGGUGGUGGAUAGGGUUUUCCUGGGGGACCAUGAGCUCAAUAGGAGAGAAAGGAGGGGAGGGGAUUAAAGACAGUUGUAGGGGCAAGUUGUGAGCAUCAAAUCAAAUAAUAUAUUCAGAAGAAUUUUGUAGACUUCAAAGUACCCUAGCUAUAUGGUAAAGUAUUGGUACAAUACUAGAGACUGUGGUGGUGCCGUGAAAUAAUAUUUGAUUUGGGGCUUUGUUAUUGCUUUCAAAGAAAAGAGUUUUUGAAGAUCAUUGCUUUGUAUAGCUCUCCUCCACGUUCCAUUGCCUGUAGCUAUCUUUCUUAUUGACUUCU
Molecule: RNA transcript, 10907 nt
Organism: Peromyscus californicus insignis
Lineage: Eukaryota; Metazoa; Chordata; Mammalia; Rodentia; Cricetidae
Exons: 15
Source: RefSeq, a predicted model, not a curated record